Molecule: microRNA precursor, 122 nt
Filed under: Olea europaea subsp. europaea
Lineage: Eukaryota; Viridiplantae; Streptophyta; Magnoliopsida; Lamiales; Oleaceae
Source: RNAcentral
UCUAUUUUGAAUAUCCCACAAAUAUGUAUUCAUCGAUAUAUAUAUAUAUAUAUAUAUAUAUAUAUAUAUAUAUAUAUAUAUAUAUAUCGAUGAAUACAUAUUUGUGGGAUAUUCAAAAUAGA